GGACUACUGGGGUUUCUAAUCCUGUUUGCUCCCCACGCUUUCGUGUCUCAGCGUCAGUCACCGUCCAGAAGGCCGCCUUCGCCGCAGGUGUUCUGCUUGAUAUCUACGAAUUUCACCUCUACACCAAGCAUUCCACCUUCCUCUCCGGGACUCCAGCGAUGCAGUUUCGGAUGCACUUCCACGGUUGAGCCGUGGGCUUUCACAUCCGACUUGCAAAGCCGCCUACACACGCUUUACGCCCAGUAAAUCCGAACAACGUUUGCACCCUCUGUCUUACCGCGGCUGCUGGCAC
RNAcentral lists this ribosomal RNA (292 nucleotides) under uncultured bacterium. Its description in RNAcentral is "partial 16S ribosomal RNA". The record is from RNAcentral.